RNAcentral lists this ribosomal RNA (489 nucleotides) under uncultured bacterium. Its description in RNAcentral is "partial 16S ribosomal RNA". It matches the Rfam family "Bacterial small subunit ribosomal RNA", at positions 38 to 507 of the family's 1533-position model. The record is from RNAcentral.
GGGGAGGGGGGGGGGGGGGCGGGCGCAUGGGAGGGGGACGGUAACGGGGAGGAGCUGGCUUCUUGGCUGACGGGUGGCGGCCGGGGGAGGAAUGGCUGGGAAACUGCCUGAGGGAGGGGGAUAACUACGGGAAACGGUAGCUAAUACCGCAUAACGUCGCAAGACCAACGAGGGGGACCUUCGGGCCUCUUGCCAUCGGAUGUGCCCAGAUGGGAUUAGCUAGUAGGUGGGGUAACGGCGAACCUAGGCGACGAUCCCUAGCUGGUCUGAGAGGAUGACCAGCCACACUGGAACUGAGACACGGUCCAGACUCCUACGGGAGGCAGCAGUGGGGAAUAUUGCACAAUGGGCGCAAGCCUGAUGCAGCCAUGCCGCGUGUAUGAAGAAGGCCUUCGGGUUGUAAAGUACUUUCAGCGGGGAGGAAGGGAGUAAAGUUAAUACCUUUACUCAUUGACGUUACCCGCAGAAGAAGCACCGGCUAACUCCGUG